AGUUGAGCGGGAUUUAAGGUGCUUGCACCUUAAUGAGAGUGGCGCACGGGUGAGUAAUACAUAGGAACAUACCAAGAAGUGGGGGACAACAGUUGGAAACGACUGCUAAUACCGCAUAAUCCCUGAGGGGGAAAGGCUUCGGCUGCUUUUUGAUUGGCCUAUGGUAGAUUAGCUAGUUGGAGGGGUAAUGGCCCACCAAGGCAACGAUCUAUAGCUGGUCUGAGAGGACGAUCAGCCACACUGGAACUGAGACACGGUCCAGACUCCUACGGGAGGCAGCAGUGAGGAAUAUUGGGCAAUGGAGGCAACUCUGACCCAGCCAUGCCGCGUGAGUGAAGAAGGUUUUCGAAUUGUAAAGCUCUUUCGGAUGUGAAGAUAAUGACGGUAGCAUCUAAAGAAGCCCCGGCAAACUUCGUGCCAGCAGCCGCGGUAAUACGAAGGGGGCAAGCGUUGUUCGGAAUUACUGGGCGUAAAGGGUGCGUAGGUGGAUUUGUAAGAUAGCGGUGAAAUGCCGGGGCUCAACCUCGGAAUUGCCGUUAUAACUAUAGGUCUAGAAUUAUAGAGAGGUUAGUGGAAUACCCAGUGUAGAGGUGAAAUUCGUAGAUAUUGGGUAGAACACCAGUGGCGAAGGCGACUAACUGGCUAUAUAUUGACACUGAGGCACGAAAGCAUGGGGAUCAAACAGGAUUAG
This 691-nucleotide ribosomal RNA is filed under the name uncultured bacterium. Its description in RNAcentral is "bacterial SSU rRNA". It matches the Rfam family "Bacterial small subunit ribosomal RNA", at positions 60 to 781 of the family's 1533-position model. The record is from RNAcentral.